UAGAUGGAAUGUUAUUUAUGUUUUGAAAAACUGCAUACGAUAUCCAUCAUAGCGCCGCAAAGAUGAGCAACUGUUCUAUAAAACCCAAUAAAGAAGUGGAAGGAAGUUCGAUACCAGAGCUGAAGUUCAGUCCAGCGUGAAUGGUACGUCGCAGCAAGAAACAAAAUGCCGAAGAGAAAAAACAGAAAAUGGCAAAGACCCCACGGAACGUCAGAAUAAUCCUUGGGCAUCAUAUUGCAGCUUUCUAACCACCAGGACCCGAGCACGGCAGCAUAAAAUAACCGGGCGCAAAAUCUUGCGAAUGCUCUACAGUAUGCGGAGCCUUCGAACUCUUCCCAUUUCUGUCAUAGAAGCCAUCAAUCGUUUUGUUGAAAUGUGCAAU
Molecule: non-coding RNA, 382 nt
Organism: Drosophila melanogaster (fruit fly)
Lineage: Eukaryota; Metazoa; Arthropoda; Insecta; Diptera; Drosophilidae
Source: Ensembl